UACGUAGGGCGCAAGCGUUGUCCGGAAUUAUUGGGCGUAAAGAGCUCGUAGGCGGUUUGUCGCGUCUGCUGUGAAAACCUAAGGCUCAACCUUGGGCUUGCAGUAGAUACGGGCAGACUAGAGGUAGGUAGGGGAGAAUGGAAUUCCCGGUGUAGCGGUGAAAUGCGCAGAUAUCGGGAGGAACACCGGUGGCGAAGGCGGUUCUCUGGGCCUUACCUGACGCUGAGGAGCGAAAGCGUGGGGAGCAAACAGG
This 253-nucleotide ribosomal RNA is filed under the name uncultured bacterium. RNAcentral's name for it is "partial 16S ribosomal RNA". It matches the Rfam family "Bacterial small subunit ribosomal RNA", at positions 524 to 776 of the family's 1533-position model. The record is from RNAcentral.